Molecule: long non-coding RNA, 5749 nt
Organism: Eriocheir sinensis (Chinese mitten crab)
Lineage: Eukaryota; Metazoa; Arthropoda; Malacostraca; Decapoda; Varunidae
Exons: 3
Source: RefSeq, a predicted model, not a curated record
UUUACUUCAAGACGUUAAAACUUGUGAUAUUUGGCUUCUUUCUGUUUUACUUUAGUGUUGUUUCUUGCAUUAAUAGUCAGAUUAGCGAGGAAGAUGAAAUUAGAAAAGCGAAUUGAAGCGAAAAGGGUUUUACGAGCUAACUUUUUACUUCAAGACGUUAAAACUUAUGAUAUUAGGCUUCUUUCUGUUUUACUUUAGUGUUGUUUCUUGCAUUAUUAGUUAGGAAAGCAAAGGAGAUGAACACAGAAGUGGAUUGGAGCGCAGAUAUUCAUAUAAGAGCUAACUUUUUAUUUCAAGACGUUAAAACUUAUGAUAUUAGGCUUCUUUCUGCUUUACUUUAGUGUUGUUUCUUGAAUUAUUAGUUAGAAAAGCAGAGUAGAUGACCAUAGAAGUGAAUUGGAGCGUAGAUAAGCUUAUGUGAGAGCGUUACAUUUUACUUCAAGACGUUAAAACUUAUGAUAUUAGGCUUCUUUCUGCUUUAUUUUAGUGUUGUUUCUUGAAUUAUUAGUUAGAAAAGCAGAGUAGAUGACCAUAGAAGUGAAUUGGACCGUUGAAAGUCUUAUGUGAGAGCUAACCUUUACUUCAAGACGUUAAAACUUAUGAUAUUAGGCUUCUUUCUGCUUUAUUUUAGUGUUGUUUCUUGAAUUAUUAGUUAGAAAAGCAGAGUAGAUGACCAUAGAAGUGAAUUGGACCGUUGAAAGUCUUAUGUGAGAGCUAACCUUUACUUCAAGACGUUAAAACUUAUGAUAUUAGGCUUCUUUCUGCUUUAUUUUAGUGUUGUUUCUUGAAUUAUUGGUCGGAAAAGCAGAGUAGACGAGCAUAGAAGUGAACUGGACCGUUGAAAGUCUUAUGUGAGAGUUAACCUUUUACUUCAAGACGUUAAAACUUAUGAUGUUUGGCUUCUUUCUGUUUUACUUUAGUGUUGUUUCUUGCAUUAUUAGUCAGAAAAGCAGAGUAGACGAGCAUAGAAGUGAAUUGGAGCGUAGAAAGUCUUAUGUGAGAGCUAACCUUUACUUCAAGACGUUAAAACUUUUAUUAUUAUGGACCUUUAGGUUUAUAUCUUCACUCAAUUAUUAGUUAGAAGAAGAGUAAAGGAGACGAGCAUAGAAGUGGACAGGGGCGUUGAGUCUUUUAUAUGCUAACUUUUCACUUUAGAGACAUUGAAACUUAUGAUAUUAGACUUCUUUUAGUUUUACUUUAGCGUUAUUUAUGUCAUUAUUUGUUAGAAGAAUAGCGGAGAAGACUGUAGGAGGUUUUGUAUGAGUUAGCUUAUUACUUCACGACACGGAUCUUUAAUUAUGUGACUAACUCUACCCCACGGCAUGCAAACUUAUUUUAGCUUGACGUUACUUCCUUUAACUUUUAGCUAUACGUAGUAGGUAAAUAUAUUAUGUAAAUAGGUUAAAAUCUCUCUAUCUGUAUUAUUAAGUCAAGUUUAGAUAGACAUGGUAGGUAAAUAUAUGACGUAAAUAGGUUAAAAUCUCUCUAUCUGUAUUAGAAAGUAAAGUUUAGAUAGACAUGGUAGGUAAAUAUAUGACGGAAAUAGGUUUUAAUCUCUCAAGCUUUAAUAGUUAGUCAAGUUUAGAUAGACAUGGUAGGUAAAUAUAUGACGUAAAUAGGUUAAAAUCUCUCUAUCUGUAUUAUUAAGUCAAGUUUAGAUAGACAUGGUAGGUAUAUAUAUGACGGAAAUAGGUUUUAAUCUCUCAAGCUUUAAUAGUUAGUCAAGUUUAGAUAGACAUGGUAGGCAAAUAUAUGACGUAAAUAGGUUCAAAUCUCUCUAUCUGUAUCAUUAAGUCAAGUUUUAUAUCCCCGCGUGUAGAGAUAAGCUAAGUCGUAUAUUGUUCGUGCAUUCUGAGAACCCUCGUAUCAGUUAAGGGUCUAUUUAUGGCAGCGUUCAGGGGUAGGUCGAGCCUCUGAUGAUGAUGUGCCUAAGUGUUGGUCCCAUCGAUAGCCUAAUGGUUGAUGGUGUGUGUGUGUGUGUGUGUGUGUGUUGAAAGCGGCGGCAGAUGAACGAGAGGUGAGAGAAACGAGUUGAACGAGAGAGAUGAACGAAGUGACGAACGAGAAAAAUAAAUGAGAGAUGAACGAGAGAGGUGAACUAAACACGAACGAGGAAGAUGAAUGAGAGAUGAACGAAAGAGGUGAACGAAACACGAACGAGAGAGAUGAAUGAGAAAGAGAUGAACGAGAGAGAGGAACGAGAAAAAUGAACUAGACAGACGAACGAAAAAGAGAUGAACGAGAGAGAGGGAAACGAGACAGGAAAACGAGUGACAUGAACGAGAAACAAACAAACAAACAAACAAAAAAAAAAUUAUCUACUUGCAUCAUAACUCUAGCCAUAGGGAAACCAAGGUGAUGAUAGAAAUAAUAAUAAUAAGACUAUAAACAGUGUUCCCGCACGUCCAGGACACAGGUUGGUAUUGUCAAAUGCUCCCGCCCCUCAUACCAACUAUUUCCAAAGGCCAAAAAGGAGGUUAAUCGAAUUCUAAUGACUGUUCUUUUAGGUUCACGGUACAGAAGAAGGCUCAGACUACCACCAGGAUCAUAAAAGUACCCCUGGAAAUGCCCACAACUCCCACGAAAGCCUUGUCAGAUAUGCUUUUUUUGGUUUCACGGUACAGAAGAAGGCUCAGACUACCACCAGGAUCAUAAAAGUACCCCUGGAAAUGCCCACAACUCCCACGAAAGCCUUGUCAGAUAUGCUUUUUUUGGUUUCACGGUACAGAAGAAGGCUCAGACUACCACCAGGGUCAUAAAAGUACCCCUGGAAAUGCCCACAACUCCCACGAAAGCCUUGUCAGAUAUGCUUUUUUUGGUUUCACGGUACAGAAGAAGGCUCAGACUACCACCAGGGUCAUAAAAGUACCCCUGGAAAUGCCCACAACUCCCACGAAAGCCUUGUCAGAUAUGCUUUUUUUGGUUUCACGGUACAGAAGAAGGCUCAGACUACCACCAGGGUCAUAAAAGUACCCCUGGAAAUGCCCUAAACUCCCACGAAAGACUAGUAAAUUACGUAUUCUUGGGCGCAGAUAUGUUUAAAAAUAUGACCCACAACCACGCCCGCUACCACAAGUCAAGGGCAAAUUCUGGUUAUUCUUCUCGAUACGAGGAAGAAGAGCGUCACUAUCGAUGAAGCAAAUUACGUCAUGCAACUCCCACUGACUCCGUCUCCUGUAGUGAUGAAAUUGAGUUCUGCUACACGAUGACGGAGUGUGUGACGCCGCCGUGACUUACCUCUCAAACCACAGGGCAUAGGUACAGUCCAGCGUUACCAGAUUAUCGUACUCAGCCACGCAGCACAUUCUAUUUUCCGGUUUCUGACUCACAGCUGUCGCAAACAAACACCAAUAAGUAACGCUUUUAACACUAACUUUAACUGGAAUCUCGUUAUCUGUGUGGGUAGGAGAGUUUGGGGCCCUGGAACUGAUUAAUGCGAUGUUUUGAGUACGAUAAUAUAGUAACGCUGGUGCAGUCCCGCUGACCUCAUAGUUACGCUUCUGCCCAUUCUCAAACACGUCACUCAGUCAGUCAGUCAAUAAGGGAAAUAUGCUGACGAUACUCGUUGUUUUACCAUGACAUUUGACUCCUUUCAUUGUUUCGUGUACGUACAGUCGCGAUAUGAAGUUAUGUCGCCGCUUUCAGAAUGUUUCGUACGGGAGCAUUUGAAGGUAACGGAAGUGAUGUGUAUUUAUUGUUUAUGUUAUAAUGUUCCCUUUUAAUGAUAAUCUAUAAAACGUUGUGAUGUAAAACACGGUAAAAUAACGUAGUAGUACAUAUCUCGGCCGGAGCGUACACUCAGCGUUGCCAAGUUAUCGUAUUUUCCGACUGAUAUCUACAGCAAAAACAAUUAUCCAGUACAAACAAGCAUCAAUUAAUAACAGUUUUUAUCGCUAACUUUAAUAUUUUUUCGUUAUUUCUGUAGCUACGAGAGUCUGCGGCUUAAAAAGGAUAAAUACAGUGUGGUGAGUAUGACAAUCUGGCAUCGUCGCGUACACUGCAACACUAUUAUUUUAACGUUUAGAGGCUGAAAACCGCAUUUGGUAGUCUGAAUGUGAUGGUGGUAGUGUAACCCAUGUUGUGCUUCAGCCUCCCUCGCAUUAUACGCUCAUCAACGGGAGUAACCUCAAUCACAAAUGGCUGCAGCUGGCUGGAGAUGCCCAUUGCUACACCCUUAACCCAGUAGCAGCGACGGGCCAAAUUUGUGGCUUUACCGUGUACCAGCGAGCGACGGGCCAAAUUUGUGGCUUUACCGUGUACCAGCGAGCGACGGGCCAAAUUUGUGGCUUUACCGUGUACCAGCGAGCGACGGGCCAAAUUUGUGGCUUUACCGUGUACCAGCGAGCGACGGGCCAAAUUUGUGGCUUUACCGUGUACCAGCGAGCGACGGGCCAAAUUUGUGGCUUUACCGUGUACCAGCGAGCGACGGGCCAAAUUUGUGGCUUUACCGUGUACCAGCGAGCGACGGGCCAAAUUUGUGGCUUUACCGUGUACCAGCGAGCGACGGGCCAAAUUUGUGGCUUUACCGUGUACCAGCGAGCGACGGGCCAAAUUUGUGGCUUUACCGUGUACCAGCGAGCGACGGGCCAAAUUUGUGGCUUUACCGCGUACCAGCGAGCGACGGGCCAAAUUUGUGGCUUUACCGUGUACCAGCGAGCGACGGGCCAAAUUUUUGCCAUGAUAUAAACCCCAAAAAACAGAUGAUGCAUAAACUGAUCACAAAUGCUUUGGUAUAUAUAUUAUGAAAUGGUUUGCGUGAGUGAUGAUUUUUUCUCAUUUUUCUCGCUUAGAGGGGCCUUUAAGAAACAUGAUCCCCGCAGCUACCGGGUUAAGACUGGUACCAUUUUGCUCAUGUCGGACCAGUCAUCCCCUGAUCACCGCAAAUGAUGACGUGUCACUGCCAGUUCAUAAUGAUAAUAAAAAAAUAUGAUCUUGGUCUUGAACUAGAUAAAUAAAGCGCAGGGCACCUAGCUGUACAGUUUAAUAACACACAUAUUUUGGGUUGGCUGUUGAGGGGAAGGGGAGGCGAGUGUGCAGGGGCGGGAAGUGAAUCAAGCAUAAUUGUUAGUGUUGGUGUGUUGUGGUGACAAGUGUGUAUUUGUUUUCUGAAUGAGUCUAUUGUACCGCAGUGAUGCAGUGUCUCUCAUGAAUUUAAAUAACUAAGCGUGUAAGCUGCCCAAAACGAUGUGAGAAGCGAAAAAUAACAUUGCUUAGCGAAAAUAACAAAUACAACUUUAGACACUCAGGCAAUUUCACGCCCAAACUUUCCAUAAUCCAAAAAACCCUCACAUUUUCCCAAUAUCCCGCAAUACUAUUCUAGCAGAGCUGAAUACAUGGGGAAAGCCGAACACUCCAGCACCCACGCCCUGAGCUCAAACUUACUUAAAUUUGUUGACACGGCUAGAACGGCAAUACGGCUGGAUCAAUGUGACUAUGGAUCCCCAGACUCGUGUGUGUGUACCCAGGCGACCCGUGAACCUAGCCACUGUAUGGAAGAUGGGAGUGAUUGUGUGUGUGUGUGUGUGUCUGUGUGUGUGUGUUUAGGAUUUGAUCUGAUUGUCCUUCUCUCUCUCCUACCUAUAUAUUUACCUAAUUUUCAAACCCCCUAUAAGUUAUGUGAUGCUCUGUGUUUUAUGAUCUAGCGGUUCAGGGUUGUCACUUAGUAAUGUUAUGUCAUGCGAUGUUUUAUGUUGGUUUCGUACUGAUUGCGUAUUAACGUGAUGCAUACCUGUAUUUUUUUAUUUAUUUA